CUUAUGGAACGUGACGUCAAAAUGACCAAACUAGGAAAAAAAACGCACUCCAUUUCCACAUUUUGGUUCUCUGUCGCUCUCUAGUGGACAUUUCUAUUACUUCAAAUGUACAGACGAUUGUUGCAUCUGUCUGUGGUGUUCAUUUUGAACAUAUCCUUCAAAAUGUACUUGCUCAAAAAAGUAGGAAAACCAAUUCAUUUCUUAGUUGAGGAAAAACUUUACAAGAAAUUCCGGUCCCGUUUUUCCGGUUGUGUCCGCAUUCUCAAAUACCGCCUUUAUGCACCAACAAUACGAGCGCAUUACUACGACGUCACAUUUGUCUCGAACCAUGAAAAAAGGGGUCGAUUGGUUGUUGUUUGUCACAUCACCAUAAAGACUGGAAGAUUCAACAAAAGGUAGAACCACAACAAUUUUCUGGGCUAAGCAUUUGAAUUUCCAAGCAAUUCAAUGUUGAAAUAAUUUAUUGGGCCUUCUGAUGGCACGGCUUACAUCCACACGACACAAUUCUACUGUACCUGUACUUUAAUUCGAGUUCUCUCGACUGCGUCCUUUCAAGCUUCAGGUAAUAACAGAUGACAAUGGCAUAACAUUUUAAAAGACAUUUCCAGUGCGGUUAAAUGUGCGAAUGAGCCUUUAAAGGAAAAAAAAAAUGCUGUUCUCUAUUCGCUAAUGUUAAGAAGGUGAGUGGAGAAUCUUGCAUGUUCCAGCUGGACCUGAA
Long non-coding RNA from Hippocampus comes (tiger tail seahorse), 718 nucleotides. RefSeq lists it as uncharacterized. The record is from RefSeq and is a predicted model, not a curated record. The transcript is spliced from 2 exons. NCBI's taxonomy places the organism in Eukaryota, Metazoa, Chordata, Actinopteri, Syngnathiformes, Syngnathidae.